GACGAACGCUGGCGGCGUGCUUAACACAUGCAAGUCGAACGGAAAGGCCCUGCUUUUGUGGGGUGCUCGAGUGGCGAACGGGUGAGUAACACGUGAGUAACCUGCCCUUGACUUUGGGAUAACUUCAGGAAACUGGGGCUAAUACCGGAUAGGAGCUCCUGCUGCAUGGUGGGGGUUAGAAAGUUUCGGCGGUUGGGGAUGGACUCGCGGCUUAUCAGCUUGUUGGUGGGGUAGUGGCUUACCAAGGCUUUGACGGGUAGCCGGCCUGAGAGGGUGACCGGCCACAUUGGGACUGAGAUACGGCCCAGACUCCUACGGGAGGCAGCAGUGGGGAAUAUUGCACAAUGGGCGGAAGCCUGAUGCAGCAACGCCGCGUGCGGGAUGACGGCCUUCGGGUUGUAAACCGCUUUCGCCUGUGACGAAGCGUGAGUGACGGUAAUGGGUAAGAAGCACCGGCUAACUACGUG
This 467-nucleotide ribosomal RNA is filed under the name uncultured bacterium. Its description in RNAcentral is "partial 16S ribosomal RNA". It matches the Rfam family "Bacterial small subunit ribosomal RNA", at positions 28 to 507 of the family's 1533-position model. The record is from RNAcentral.